RNAcentral lists this ribosomal RNA (1657 nucleotides) under Salmonella enterica subsp. enterica serovar Paratyphi A. RNAcentral's name for it is "16S ribosomal RNA". Lineage: Bacteria; Pseudomonadati; Pseudomonadota; Gammaproteobacteria; Enterobacterales; Enterobacteriaceae. The record is from RNAcentral.
UUUUCAUCAGACAAUCUGUGUGAGCACUGCAAAGAACAGUUCUUUAAGGUAAGGAGGUGAUCCAACCGCAGGUUCCCCUACGGUUACCUUGUUACGACUUCACCCCAGUCAUGAAUCACAAAGUGGUAAGCGCCCUCCCGAAGGUUAAGCUACCUACUUCUUUUGCAACCCACUCCCAUGGUGUGACGGGCGGUGUGUACAAGGCCCGGGAACGUAUUCACCGUGGCAUUCUGAUCCACGAUUACUAGCGAUUCCGACUUCAUGGAGUCGAGUUGCAGACUCCAAUCCGGACUACGACGCACUUUAUGAGGUCCGCUUGCUCUCGCGAGGUCGCUUCUCUUUGUAUGCGCCAUUGUAGCACGUGUGUAGCCCUGGUCGUAAGGGCCAUGAUGACUUGACGUCAUCCCCACCUUCCUCCAGUUUAUCACUGGCAGUCUCCUUUGAGUUCCCGGCCGGACCGCUGGCAACAAAGGAUAAGGGUUGCGCUCGUUGCGGGACUUAACCCAACAUUUCACAACACGAGCUGACGACAGCCAUGCAGCACCUGUCUCACGGUUCCCGAAGGCACAUUCUCAUCUCUGAAAACUUCCGUGGAUGUCAAGACCAGGUAAGGUUCUUCGCGUUGCAUCGAAUUAAACCACAUGCUCCACCGCUUGUGCGGGCCCCCGUCAAUUCAUUUGAGUUUUAACCUUGCGGCCGUACUCCCCAGGCGGUCUACUUAACGCGUUAGCUCCGGAAGCCACGCCUCAAGGGCACAACCUCCAAGUAGACAUCGUUUACGGCGUGGACUACCAGGGUAUCUAAUCCUGUUUGCUCCCCACGCUUUCGCACCUGAGCGUCAGUCUUUGUCCAGGGGGCCGCCUUCGCCACCGGUAUUCCUCCAGAUCUCUACGCAUUUCACCGCUACNNNNNNNNNNNNNNNNNNNNAAGCCUGCCAGUUUCGAAUGCAGUUCCCAGGUUGAGCCCGGGGAUUUCACAUCCGACUUGACAGACCGCCUGCGUGCGCUUUACGCCCAGUAAUUCCGAUUAACGCUUGCACCCUCCGUAUUACCGCGGCUGCUGGCACGGAGUUAGCCGGUGCUUCUUCUGCGGGUAACGUCAAUUGCUGCGGUUAUUAACCACAACACCUUCCUCCCCGCUGAAAGUACUUUACAACCCGAAGGCCUUCUUCAUACACGCGGCAUGGCUGCAUCAGGCUUGCGCCCAUUGUGCAAUAUUCCCCACUGCUGCCUCCCGUAGGAGUCUGGACCGUGUCUCAGUUCCAGUGUGGCUGGUCAUCCUCUCAGACCAGCUAGGGAUCGUCGCCUUGGUGAGCCGUUACCUCACCAACAAGCUAAUCCCAUCUGGGCACAUCUGAUGGCAAGAGGCCCGAAGGUCCCCCUCUUUGGUCUUGCGACGUUAUGCGGUAUUAGCCACCGUUUCCAGUAGUUAUCCCCCUCCAUCAGGCAGUUUCCCAGACAUUACUCACCCGUCCGCCACUCGUCAGCAAAGCAGCAAGCUGCUUCCUGUUACCGUUCGACUUGCAUGUGUUAGGCCUGCCGCCAGCGUUCAAUCUGAGCCAUGAUCAAACUCUUCAAUUUAAAAGUUUGAUGCUCAAAGAAUUAAACUUCGUAAUGAAUUACGUGUUCACUCUUGAGACUUGGUAUUCAUUUUUCGU